Molecule: ribosomal RNA, 937 nt
Filed under: Pseudomonas sp.
Lineage: Bacteria; Pseudomonadati; Pseudomonadota; Gammaproteobacteria; Pseudomonadales; Pseudomonadaceae
Description: bacterial SSU rRNA
Rfam family: Bacterial small subunit ribosomal RNA
Source: RNAcentral
GGUUGGGGGCGUACCUGCAAGUCGAGCGGAUGACGGGAGCUUGCUCCUUGAUUCAGCGGCGGACGGGUGAGUAAUGCCUAGGAAUCUGCCUGGUAGUGGGGGACAACGUUUCGAAAGGAACGCUAAUACCGCAUACGUCCUACGGGAGAAAGCAGGGGACCUUCGGGCCUUGCGCUAUCAGAUGAGCCUAGGUCGGAUUAGCUAGUUGGUGGGGUAAUGGCUCACCAAGGCGACGAUCCGUAACUGGUCUGAGAGGAUGAUCAGUCACACUGGAACUGAGACACGGUCCAGACUCCUACGGGAGGCAGCAGUGGGGAAUAUUGGACAAUGGGCGAAAGCCUGAUCCAGCCAUGCCGCGUGUGUGAAGAAGGUCUUCGGAUUGUAAAGCACUUUAAGUUGGGAGGAAGGGCAGUAAGUUAAUACCUUGCUGUUUUGACGUUACCGACAGAAUAAGCACCGGCUAACUCUGUGCCAGCAGCCGCGGUAAUACAGAGGGUGCAAGCGUUAAUCGGAAUUACUGGGCGUAAAGCGCGCGUAGGUGGUUUGUUAAGUUGGAUGUGAAAGCCCCGGGCUCAACCUGGGAACUGCAUCCAAAACUGGCAAGCUAGAGUACGGUAGAGGGUGGUGGAAUUUCCUGUGUAGCGGUGAAAUGCGUAGAUAUAGGAAGGAACACCAGUGGCGAAGGCGACCACCUGGACUGAUACUGACACUGAGGUGCGAAAGCGUGGGGAGCAAACAGGAUUAGAUACCCUGGUAGUCCACGCCGUAAACGAUGUCAACUAGCCGUUGGAAUCCUUGGAGAUUUUAGUGGCGCAGCUAACGCAUUAAGUUGACCGCCUGGGGAGUACGGCCGCAAGGUUAAACUCAAAUGAAUUGACGGGGGCCCGCACAAGCGGUGGGAGCAUGUGGGUUAAUUCGAAGCAACGCGAAGAACCUU